Molecule: long non-coding RNA, 2019 nt
Filed under: Homo sapiens (human)
Lineage: Eukaryota; Metazoa; Chordata; Mammalia; Primates; Hominidae
Description: non-protein coding lnc-C12orf49-2:3
Source: RNAcentral
UAGAGCCCAGUUCCUGUUUUUUUGUUCGUUUUUUUUUUUUUUUUUUAGCCGCCUUCAUUUGGAUACUGGGGACUUCUUUUCCACUUCUUCUUCUUCUUCUAUUUUAUUUUGAGACAGAGUCUCACUCUGUCACCCAGGCUGGAGUGCAGUGGUGCGAGCUCAGCUCACUGCAACCUCCACCUCCCAGGUUCAAGCGAUUCUCCUGCCUCAGCCUCCUGAGUAGCUGGGAUUACAGGCACCCACCACCACGCUCGGCUAAUUUUUGUAUUUUUAGUGGAGAUGGGGUUUUACCAUGUUGGCCAGAGUGGUUUUGAACUCCUGGCCUCAAGUGAUCCACCUGCCUUGGCCUCCCAAAGUGCUGGGAUUACAGGCAUGAGCCACCGAGCUCAGCCUCCACUUCUUAUUUUGAUUCUUUUCUGUUUUGAUGGUGAGAGGAAAGGGUGAUUUACCCAAUACUGUCACAGAAAAAUGAAACUGUGACUGGUUUUCACAAUGUAUGUAGCUGAUCUCAUGUUCUCCUAUUAUUAUGUUUCUGACAGUGAUAAAAUAUCACUCUCCCUCCCUGGGGCAUUAGAGGAGUCCUCACCCACCCACCUCCUACACAAGUAUCUUUUAGGGACAGUGGCUCACCAUUGUGGACUUUUUGAGUGUCCACCUGAUAUUACAAGUUGCAUUGACCAGAACACAGAUUUUGCUCUUCUGUGUCAAUACCCAUUUCUUUUCUGAAGGUCAGAAGUUGGUUAAGGGUUUGGGGGACCAGCUAGACACUCUUCUUAGUCCCAUGGAGCUGACUGGAAGUUCCAUGAGGGGAGGAAAUUGAUGUCAAAGUGUCAUUUUAAAGCUUAAGCUGAAAGUUUAUUUUUUAAAUUCUCAUUCAUUCAUUUAGCAUAUAUUGAUUGAGCAUCUACAAUGUGCCAGUUGUAGAAUUCCAUCUCAGAAGAGACUUGACUUGUGGAUGGUGGAGGGGCAGUCCUGCUCGGAAGCAGAUGAUGUGAAAUGUUCCUUUCCAGUCUGGUUCACGAUGUUUAACAGAUUUGUCAGGUCACCACUGUGACCCCAAGCUUUGCUGGCAGAUUGUUAUAUAGUAUUUACUGAGAGCCCUGCUAUCUGGUAAAGGCAGUUAAAAAGCCUGCAAUCUCGACUCAUUUCCAGCAUGAACAGACUGGUCCUUGCUGCUUUACACAAUAAUCAAAGCUACCUUUUAUGGCGUGCUCGCCACUCCCAAGCACUGGGCGAAGUGCUUUACCCGUCUUCCCCUCCGCGAUGCCUCAUGCCCACUUUAGCAGAUAGUACUGUUAGCAUUCCCAUUUUACAGUGGAGGAAGCUGAGGCUCAGAGAGGUUAAGCAACUUAGCUGAAGGCCACACCACCAGCGAAGUGCCUGAGCCAAGAUUUGGACUCGAGUCCAUGGGACCCCCACGCUCGUGAGCUGACUGCUCUGCUCCACUGGGUCCCUUCAUGAGGUCGUCCCACAGCACUGCUAGUUCCAGGGCGAGUGCCAGCACAUGGCCCCACUGGGAGCCGGGGCCUGACUUAGGUCUACUGGAAAAAGUGUCACCUUUGGGGACACUCAAGGACAGGCUGGUUGGUUUCGUUGUGGAUUUUAUAUACUCAUGCCCUAACCCUGUGUUCCUGGUUUCUAUAAGGCCCCGGGGAAGGUGCAAGGAAUUUGCAAAUAGGGCCUGUAUGACUUAUUUCCUAGGACACGGGAAGCUUUUCUUACCUCCUUUCUACCCUCUUCUCCAACCUGAACUCCCAAGUUUCUUCUCCUGAAGGUCUUUGCACUAUAAGCGCCAAGGAGCCCGUGUGCGUGGCAGGGGCGGCUGGGAGGGUAUCUGGAGAACCUUAGUGAGGCCUCUGGCCUAGCCAGAGAGGCAAUAAGCUUGGGGACGUUCCGUUCUGGGUUCUGACGUUGUUGGUUCUGACGUCGUUGUGCUCUUUUGUAAGAGGAAUUUCAUACCUUGGAGACGCUUUGUACAUAUUUGUAAUGACUUUAUUAAAAAACUGAUUGUGCACUUCU